GAGCCACUAGCUCAUCAGGCAGAGCAACGGCCUUUUAAGCCGUCGGUGCCGCGUUCGAGUCGCGGGUGGCUCA
Molecule: transfer RNA, 73 nt
Filed under: Pseudomonadota bacterium
Lineage: Bacteria; Pseudomonadati; Pseudomonadota
Also listed under: 1 other name
Description: tRNA-Lys
Rfam family: tRNA
About the family: Transfer RNA (tRNA) molecules are approximately 80 nucleotides in length.
Source: RNAcentral